AUUGAACGCUGGCGGCAGGCCUAACACAUGCAAGUCGAACGAGUGGCGGACGGGUGAGUAAUGUCUGGGAAACUGCCCGAUGGAGGGGGAUAACUACUGGAAACGGUAGCUAAUACCGCAUACCCUCGGAUGUGCCCAGAUGGGAUUAGCUAGUAGGUGGGGUAACGGCUCACCUAGGCGACGAUCCCUAGCCGGUCUGAGAGGAUGACCGGCAAAACUGGAACGGAGACACGGCCCAGACUCCUACGGGAGGAAGCAGGGGGGAAUAUUGCACAAUGGACACAAGCCGGAUGCAGCCAGGCCGGGUGGAUGAAGAAGGCCUUCGGGUGGUAAAGUACUUUCAGCGAGGAGGCGUUACUCGCAGAAGAAGCACCGGCUAACUCCGUGCCAGCAGCCGCGGUAAUUC
Molecule: ribosomal RNA, 406 nt
Filed under: uncultured bacterium
Lineage: Bacteria
Description: partial 16S ribosomal RNA
Rfam family: Bacterial small subunit ribosomal RNA
Source: RNAcentral